CAGUCGCCACGGGAAUACGUAGGUGGCAAGCGUUGUCCGGAAUUAUUGGGCGUAAAGGGCUCGCAGGCGGUUUCUUAAGUCUGAUGUGAAAGCCCCCGGCUCAACCGGGGAGGGUCAUUGGAAACUGGGAAACUUGAGUGCAGAAGAGGAGAGUGGAAUUCCACGUGUAGCGGUGAAAUGCGUAGAGAUGUGGAGGAACACCAGUGGCGAAGGCGACUCUCUGGUCUGUAACUGACGCUGAGGAGCGAAAGCGUGGGGAGCGAACAGGUUUAGAUACCCCAGUAGUCCCUGUCUCUUAUAC
Molecule: ribosomal RNA, 301 nt
Filed under: uncultured bacterium
Lineage: Bacteria
Description: partial 16S ribosomal RNA
Rfam family: Bacterial small subunit ribosomal RNA
Source: RNAcentral